GAUGAACGCUGGCGGCGUGCCUAAUACAUGCAAGUCGAGCGAACAGACGAGGAGCUUGCUCCUCUGACGUUAGCGGCGGACGGGUGAGUAACACGUGGAUAACCUACCUAUAAGACUGGGAUAACUUCGGGAAACCGGAGCUAAUACCGGAUAAUAUAUUGAACCGCAUGGUUCAAUAGUGAAAGACGGUUUUGCUGUCACUUAUAGAUGGAUCCGCGCCGCAUUAGCUAGUUGGUAAGGUAACGGCUUACCAAGGCAACGAUGCGUAGCCGACCUGAGAGGGUGAUCGGCCACACUGGAACUGAGACACGGUCCAGACUCCAACGGGAGGCAGCAGUAGGGAAUCUUCCGCGAUGGGCGAAAGCCUGACGGAGCAACGCCGCGUGAGUGAUGAAGGUCUUCGGAUCGUAAAACUCUGUUAUUAGGGAAGAACAAAUGUGUAAGUAACUAUGCACGUCUUGACGGUACCUAAUCAGAAAGCCACGGCUAACUACG
This 495-nucleotide ribosomal RNA is filed under the name uncultured bacterium. RNAcentral's name for it is "partial 16S ribosomal RNA". It matches the Rfam family "Bacterial small subunit ribosomal RNA", at positions 28 to 505 of the family's 1533-position model. The record is from RNAcentral.